GUGACUUUGGCUCACUGCAAUCUCCACCUCCUGGAUUCAAGCCAUUCUCCUGCCUCAGCCUCCCAAGUAGCUGGGACUACAGCAAAUGCCUGUGUAACACCCAGGCUUUUUACAAGGUAUCUAAAUACUUAAGUAUUGAACGAGACAGGAGGGAGUCUGAUCUUGAAGACAUCUGCAAAGAAGGUGGGACAACAAACAGAGUUCUUCAUUAACUGCGUUUCCGCUGAGCUGAGCAAGUCGGCCACGAAGGGAACAGAACAGCCAUGUGUUUACAUAAGUCAAUCACAGCGUUUUAUUUUUGUUGUUGUUUUUUAAUCUCAAAGCCAUAGUUAAAAUCCCCUCCAGAUUCUACUAACUCAGAAAUAGACCCAAGAAGGUAAAAAAUGUUUUGAUUCUCAACUUUAUUAGCAGUAAAAGUGGUUAUGGAGGGGAAAAAGAAGUUUUAUCCUGAGGUCCCCUUCCUACAUCUCUCAUAGCUCUACCCAUGGUGAAUUGGAAAUGAAGAGCCCCAUGUGAACAGCAAACCUGAUUCUUCCACUUAGUGGCAGGGUGAGAAGCUGCUUCUGAGAGAACAAAGGCCUGUCGGGGCCUGCAGGAGGCCGAACACACCUGCCAGCUUACUGAUGAGAACCUGAAGCAGAGUCAGCCCACAAUGCCUCGGGGGAGGAAACCCAGAAAGGAUUCUAAAGGCUGGGCCACAGCACCAUUAACCCCACAAUAGCCUUACGAUUGUCAGACUCUCCUCCUUUCACUAAUUAAAUAAACAUCUGUUCUUGC
Homo sapiens (human) is the source of this 777-nucleotide long non-coding RNA. RefSeq lists it as uncharacterized. The record is from RefSeq and is a predicted model, not a curated record. The transcript is spliced from 2 exons. NCBI's taxonomy places the organism in Eukaryota, Metazoa, Chordata, Mammalia, Primates, Hominidae.